GUAUUGGCCUACCGUGGCGAUGACGGGUAACGGGGAAUUAGGGUUCGAUUCCGGAGAGGGAGCCUGAGAAACGGCUACCACAUCUAAGGAAGGCAGCAGGCGCGCAAAUUACCCAAUCCUAAUACAGGGAGGUAGUGACAAGAAAUAACAAUACAGGACUUUUUGGUUUUGUAAUUGGAAUGAGUUAAGUAUAAACCCCUUUACAAGUAUCAAUUGGAGGGCAAGUCUGGUGCCAGCAGCCGCGGUAAUUCCAGCUCCAAUAGCGUAUAUUAAAGUUGUUGCAGUUAAAAAGCUCGUAGUUGGAUUUCUGUUAAUAAUUUAUAUAAAAUAUUUUGAAUAUUUAUAUAACAUUAACAUAAUUCAUAUUACUAUAUUUUUUAGUAUAUGAAAUUUUACUUUGAGAAAAUUAGAGUGCUUAAAGCAGGCAUAUGCCUUGAAUACUCCAGCAUGGAAUAAUAUUAAAGAUUUUUAUCUUUUUUAUUGGUUCUAAGAUAAGAAUAAUGAUUAAUAGGGACAGUUGGGGGUAUUUGUAUUUAA
Molecule: ribosomal RNA, 537 nt
Filed under: Cryptosporidium parvum
Lineage: Eukaryota; Apicomplexa; Conoidasida; Eucoccidiorida; Cryptosporidiidae
Description: SSU rRNA
Rfam family: Eukaryotic small subunit ribosomal RNA
Source: RNAcentral